UCAUACUGUUCUCACCCCAAUGGGCUUGG
This 29-nucleotide small RNA is filed under the name Bombyx mori (domestic silkworm). RNAcentral describes it as "ovarian small RNA-25910". The record is from RNAcentral. Lineage: Eukaryota; Metazoa; Arthropoda; Insecta; Lepidoptera; Bombycidae.